UACGUAGGGGGCAAGCGUUGUCCGGAUUUAUUGGGCGUAAAGAGCGUGUAGGCGGCCAGACAAGUCCGCUGUGAAAACUCGAGGCUCAACCUCGAGACGCCGGUGGAAACCAUCAGACUAGAGUCCGGAAGAGGAGAGUGGAAUUCCUGGUGUAGCGGUGAAAUGCGCAGAUAUCAGGAAGAACACCCGUGGCUAAGGCGGCUCUCUAGUACGGUACUGACGCUGAGACGCGAAAGCGUGGGGAGCGAACAGG
Molecule: ribosomal RNA, 253 nt
Filed under: uncultured bacterium
Lineage: Bacteria
Description: partial 16S ribosomal RNA
Rfam family: Bacterial small subunit ribosomal RNA
Source: RNAcentral